AACGCACCUUGCACCCUCUCAUGGGGGGUAUACGUGUUUGAGAAUCGUAUAUGAAUCUUGUCUCUGACUUUGAGGCAGAAUUGAGUGCUGGUAAAAAAGCGCUCUAAAUGCAGUAGUGUAACGCUGCGUUGGUCGCAUGGACACUGUGUGCUGGGACUGCUAGUCUACUCACGGUGCGUCGAUGCGCUGUGUGUGUUGUGUGUGUGUGUGUGUGUGUUCUGCGUGAACCAUGCAUAUAUAUAUGCGCACUAGCCGACGUGGAAAGUGCGCUCUCAGUGUGUGUGUGGUGGUGUGGUGUGGUGUGGUGUGGUGUGGUGCAUGAUAUUAGUAUCAUCAUCAUCAUAAUCAUCAUCAUCACCACCACAUAUAUACAAUACACGAACACUGAUCUCAAAUCACGUAAGACUACCCGCUGAACUUAA
RNAcentral lists this unclassified non-coding RNA (422 nucleotides) under Apiospora sp. RNAcentral's name for it is "partial contains internal transcribed spacer 2 and large subunit ribosomal RNA". Lineage: Eukaryota; Fungi; Ascomycota; Sordariomycetes; Amphisphaeriales; Apiosporaceae. The record is from RNAcentral.